RNAcentral lists this long non-coding RNA (222 nucleotides) under Capra hircus (goat). RNAcentral's name for it is "lncRNA (ENSCHIG00010001168.1)". Lineage: Eukaryota; Metazoa; Chordata; Mammalia; Artiodactyla; Bovidae. The record is from RNAcentral.
AAAUGACCAUUAAGAAGUAGAUGCCCAGAUGCAAAAGUGAUGAAACAGUCAAUUUGUCAUAAAGUAAGAUGCAGCUGUGGCUUUUCAACCAGAUUAGGACAAAAUUGUAUCUAUUUUUCUCAGAAGAGAAUUCCACAAGGCUCCUGUUGUUGCAGGAAGGCAGACCCCUUAAAGGGCCCAAAACUGGGCUCUUGUCUAACACUCGGAAAUGAAUUGUCUGAG